AGCGAACGCUGGCGGCAGGCCUAACACAUGCAAGUCGAACGAAGUGGCGGACGGGUGAGUAACACGUGGGAACGUGCCUUUAGGUUCGGAAUAACUCAGGGAAACUUGUGCUAAUACCGAAUGCCUUUAGAGCGGCCCGCGUUUGAUUAGCUAGUUGGUGAGGUAAAGGCUCACCAAGGCGACGAUCAGUAGCUGGUAUGAGAGGAUGAUCAGCCACAUUGGGACUGGGACACGGCCCAAACUCCUACGGGAGGGAGCAGUGGGGGAUGUUGCGAAAUGGGAGAAAGCAUGACGCAGCCCUGCAGCGUGAAUGAUGUAGGUCUUAGGGUUGUAAAAGUCUUUAACCGGGGACGCGGUACCCGGAGAAGAAGCCCCGGCUAACUUCGUGCCAGCAGCCGCGGUAAUAC
Molecule: ribosomal RNA, 407 nt
Filed under: uncultured bacterium
Lineage: Bacteria
Description: partial 16S ribosomal RNA
Rfam family: Bacterial small subunit ribosomal RNA
Source: RNAcentral